This 490-nucleotide ribosomal RNA is filed under the name Indiopsocus bisignatus. RNAcentral's name for it is "partial 16S ribosomal RNA". The record is from RNAcentral. Lineage: Eukaryota; Metazoa; Arthropoda; Insecta; Psocodea; Psocidae.
GUCUUUAUGAUAAAAUUUAAAGUCCAAUCUGCUCACUGAAUAUUUAAAGAGCCGCAGUAUAUUGACUGUGCAAAGGUAGCAUAAUCAUUAGUUUUUUAAUUGAAAACUCGUAUGAAAGAUUAGACAAGAAAUUUAUUUUCUUUAUUUUAAUAAAUUGAAUUUUAAUUAUAAGUGAAAAUGCUUAUUUAAAUUUAAAAGACGAGAAGACCCUAUAGAUUUUUAUUGUUGGAAUAAAUUUUAAAUAAUAAUUUAAUAAAACAAUUUAAUUGGGGCGAUUUUGUAAUAUAAUAAACUUAAUAUUUUAUAACCAUAAAUUAUUGAAUUUUUUUGAUCUAAAACUUUUAAAGAAAGAUUAAAUUACCUUAGGGAUAACAGCGUAAUUUUAUUUAAGAGUUCAUAUCUAUAAUAAAGUUUGCGACCUCGAUGUUGAAUUAAGAUAAUAUAUUGGAGUAGAAAUUAAUAUAAUUAGUCUGUUCGACUAUUAAAUUCU